GAAUUGCGAAAAGUAAUGUGAAUUGCAGAUACCGUGAAUCAUCAAAUCUUUGAACGCACAUUGCACUGUCUGGAACUCCGGACAGUAUACCUGUUUGAGCAUCAGUAACUACUCUCCUACACCCUACUGUCUACGGUAGCUGUAUGGAGGACUUGAGUAACCAUGUCGCUCGCGGCAUGCUACUUCAAAUCUAGUGGCUAGGAAGUCCCGGACUUUACUACUAGCUGACAGAGUCAAUGGACCUCGUGUCUAUUACUGUCUGGCUGCGGUAGAGUAACCGACGAUGCAACCAAGCAUUACUGUAACCUACAGAGGCCCUCACAGGCUUCUGUGACAAUGAUCUCAAAUCAGGUAGGAUUACCCGCUGAACUUAA
Molecule: unclassified non-coding RNA, 374 nt
Filed under: uncultured fungus
Lineage: Eukaryota; Fungi
Description: sequence contains ITS1
Rfam family: 5.8S ribosomal RNA (bases 1-104)
Source: RNAcentral